Erpetoichthys calabaricus (reedfish) is the source of this 287-nucleotide long non-coding RNA. RefSeq lists it as uncharacterized. The transcript is spliced from 2 exons. The record is from RefSeq and is a predicted model, not a curated record. Lineage: Eukaryota; Metazoa; Chordata; Cladistia; Polypteriformes; Polypteridae.
GGUCACAAAUCUGAAAAACUAACCGCAGAAAAAAUGGAUGAUCUCUUCAAAGUUCGCUUUUCUCCUGAAGGAAGCAAUAAGAAGACAUUGGAAGUUUCCAUUGUUGCUGUUUGAAGGGAUUUUUUACUGGAUGUGGAAGAAAAGGAGACAUCAACCACAAUGGAAGGGAUACUCAUAUUUGCUACAGGUGCUGACUGUAUCCCUCCAUGUGGCUUCUUCCCGGAACCGUCCAUUGAAUUUCUGCAUCAUUAUGGUGCUGCACAUCCAGGGUUGCUUCCAGUGUCAAA